GGUGAAAAGCACCCCGGAAGGGGAGUGAAAUAGAACCUGAAACCGUGUGCUUACAAGUAGUCAGAGCCCGUUAAUGGGUGAUGGCGUGCCUUUUGUAGAAUGAACCGGCGAGUUACGAUUUGAUGCAAGGUUAAGCAGUAAAUGUGGAGCCGUAGCGAAAGCGAGUCUGAAUAGGGCGUUUAGUAUUUGGUCGUAGACCCGAAACCAGGUGAUCUACCCUUGGUCAGGUUGAAGUUCAGGUAACACUGAAUGGAGGACCGAACCGACUUACGUUGAAAAGUGAGCGGAUGAACUGAGGGUAGCGGAGAAAUUCCAAUCGAACCUGGAGAUAGCUGGUUCUCUCCGAAAUAGCUUUAGGGCUAGCCUCAAGUGAUGAUUAUUGGAGGUAGAGCACUGUUUGGACGAGGGGCCCCUCUCGGGUUACCGAAUUCAGACAAACUCCGAAUGCCAAUUAAUUUAACUUGGGAGUCAGAACAUGGGUGAUAAGGUCCGUGUUCGAAAGGGAAACAGCCCAGACCACCAGCUAAGGUCCCAAAAUAUAUGUUAAGUGGAAAAGGAUGUGGCGUUGCCCAGACAACUAGGAUGUUGGCUUAGAAGCAGCCAUCAUUUAAAGAGUGCGUAAUAGCUCACUAGUCGAGUGACACUGCGCCGAAAAUGUACCGGGGCUAAACAUAUUACCGAAGCUGUGGAUUGUCCUUUGGACAAUGGUAGGAGAGCGUUCUAAGGGCGUUGAAGCAUGAUCGUAAGGACAUGUGGAGCGCUUAGAAGUGAGAAUGCCGGUGUGAGUAGCGAAAGACGGGUGAGAAUCCCGUCCACCGAUUGACUAAGGUUUCCAGAGGAAGGCUCGUCCGCUCUGGGUUAGUCGGGUCCUAAGCUGAGGCCGACAGGCGUAGGCGAUGGAUAACAGGUUGAUAUUCCUGUACCACCUAUAAUCGUUUUAAUCGAUGGGGGGACGCAGUAGGAUAGGCGAAGCGUGCGAUUGGAUUGCACGUCUAAGCAGUAAGGCUGAGUAUUAGGCAAAUCCGGUACUCAUUAAGGCUGAGCUGUGAUGGGGAGAAGACAUUGUGUCUUCGAGUCGUUGAUUUCACACUGCCGAGAAAAGCCUCUAGAUAGAAAAUAGGUGCCCGUACCGCAAACCGACACAGGUAGUCAAGAUGAGAAUUCUAAGGUGAGCGAGCGAACUCUCGUUAAGGAACUCGGCAAAAUGACCCCGUAACUUCGGGAGAAGGGGUGCUCUUUAGGGUUAACGCCCAGAAGAGCCGCAGUGAAUAGGCCCAAGCGACUGUUUAUCAAAAACACAGGUCUCUGCUAAACCGUAAGGUGAUGUAUAGGGGCUGACGCCUGCCCGGUGCUGGAAGGUUAAGAGGAGUGGUUAGCUUCUGCGAAGCUACGAAUCGAAGCCCCAGUAAACGGCGGCCGUAACUAUAACGGUCCUAAGGUAGCGAAAUUCCUUGUCGGGUAAGUUCCGACCCGCACGAAAGGCGUAACGAUUUGGGCACUGUCUCAACGAGAGACUCGGUGAAAUCAUAGUACCUGUGAAGAUGCAGGUUACCCGCGACAGGACGGAAAGACCCCGUGGAGCUUUACUGUAGCCUGAUAUUGAAAUUCGGCACAGCUUGUACAGGAUAGGUAGGAGCCUUUGAAACGUGAGCGCUAGCUUACGUGGAGGCGCUGGUGGGAUACUACCCUAGCUGUGUUGGCUUUCUAACCCGCACCACUUAUCGUGGUGGGAGACAGUGUCAGGCGGGCAGUUUGACUGGGGCGGUCGCCUCCUAAAAGGUAACGGAGGCGCUCAAAGGUUCCCUCAGAAUGGUUGGAAAUCAUUCAUAGAGUGUAAAGGCAUAAGGGAGCUUGACUGCGAGACCUACAAGUCGAGCAGGGUCGAAAGACGGACUUAGUGAUCCGGUGGUUCCGCAUGGAAGGGCCAUCGCUCAACGGAUAAAAGCUACCCCGGGGAUAACAGGCUUAUCUCCCCCAAGAGUUCACAUCGACGGGGAGGUUUGGCACCUCGAUGUCGGCUCAUCGCAUCCUGGGGCUGUAGUCGGUCCCAAGGGUUGGGCUGUUCGCCCAUUAAAGCGGUACGCGAGCUGGGUUCAGAACGUCGUGAGACAGUUCGGUCCCUAUCCGUCGUGGGCGUAGGAAAUUUGAGAGGAGCUGUCCUUAGUACGAGAGGACCGGGAUGGACAUACCUCUGGUGUACCAGUUGUCGUGCCAACGGCAUAGCUGGGUAGCUAUGUGUGGACGGGAUAAGUGCUGAAAGCAUCUAAGCAUGAAGCCCCCCUCAAGAUGAGAUUUCCCAACUUCGGUUAU
Molecule: ribosomal RNA, 2310 nt
Filed under: Staphylococcus aureus
Lineage: Bacteria; Bacillati; Bacillota; Bacilli; Caryophanales; Staphylococcaceae
Description: partial 23S ribosomal RNA
Rfam family: Bacterial large subunit ribosomal RNA
Source: RNAcentral